CUGGGAGCCUUACAGUAAGAACUGGCACCAAGAUACAGAUUCACAGCCUCAAGCAACAACACUUCUAUUUAUGAAAUCCUGGUUAAACACCUUAGAUACCUAAGUAGUCUUAUUCAGUUUGCUUAUGAUGAACAUUUGCUGAUGAAUGGAGAGGCUGGUAUCUGGCAGCACAUAUUGCUCUACUAGAAAUAUACAAAUCUCUGCUGGAAC
Molecule: long non-coding RNA, 210 nt
Filed under: Anser cygnoides (Swan goose)
Lineage: Eukaryota; Metazoa; Chordata; Aves; Anseriformes; Anatidae
Description: lncRNA (ENSACDG00005015726.1)
Source: RNAcentral